This 793-nucleotide ribosomal RNA is filed under the name uncultured bacterium. Its description in RNAcentral is "bacterial SSU rRNA". It matches the Rfam family "Bacterial small subunit ribosomal RNA", at positions 8 to 796 of the family's 1533-position model. The record is from RNAcentral.
AGAGUUUGAUCCUGGCUCAGGAUGAACGCUGGCGGCGUGCCUAACACAUGCAAGUCAAGGAGAAACGGGUAGCAAUAUCCGGAGUAAACUGGCGAACGGGUGAGUAACACGUAGACAACUUACCUCGAAAACGGGAAUAACCCCGCGAAAGCGGGACUAAUACCCGAUAUUGCUCAGAUGCGGCAUCGUAUUUGAGUGAAAGGUCGUGAGACGUUUCGAGAUGGGUCUGCGUCCCAUUAGAUAGUUGGCAGGGUAAUGGCCCACCAAGUCGACGAUGGGUAGCUGGUCUGAGAGGACGACCAGCCACACUGGAACUGAGACACGGUCCAGACUUCUACGGAAGGCAGCAGUGAGGAAUAUUGCUCAAUGGGCGAAAGCCUGAAGCAGCGACGCCGCGUGAGGGAUGAAAUCCGUUAGGAUGUAAACCUCUUUUAUGAGAGACGAAAAGGAUGCCUUGAGCAUCCGAUGACGGUAUCUCAAGAAUAAGGAUCGGCCAACUACGUGCCAGCAGCCGCGGUAAUACGUAGGAUCCGAGCGUUGUCCGGAAUUACUGGGUGUAAAGGGUCUGCAGGCGGGCAAACAAGUCGGUGGUGAAAUCCUAUAGCUCAACUAUAGAACUGCCUCCGAUACUGUUUGUCUUGAGUUCGAGAGAGGGUAAUGGAAUUCAUGGUGUAGCGGUGAAAUGCGUAGAUAUCAUGAAGAACACCAGUUGCGAAGGCGAUUACCUGGCUCGACACUGACGCUCAGGGACGAAAGCGUGGGGAUCAAACAGGAUUAGAUACCCUGGUAGUCC